This is a non-coding RNA of Pelobates cultripes (western spadefoot toad), 94 nucleotides long. The record is from the annotation of a GenBank genome assembly. Lineage: Eukaryota; Metazoa; Chordata; Amphibia; Anura; Pelobatidae.
GUGUGUAUGUCUGUGUGUUUGUAUGUCAGUAUGUCUGUGUGUGUAUGUCAAUAGACACACACAGACAUACUGACAUACAUACACAAACAGACAU